This is a non-coding RNA of Vicia faba (fava bean), 321 nucleotides long. NCBI's taxonomy places the organism in Eukaryota, Viridiplantae, Streptophyta, Magnoliopsida, Fabales, Fabaceae. The record is from the annotation of a GenBank genome assembly.
AUGUCACGUGGAAGGGCUGGAUUCUGGACAGCAGAACAUGGAGGCUGGGUUGAUCUUUCUGGUAAAAUGCAAGUCUUGGCAAGAUUACUUGCUCAAUCAUGUCAGAGAACAAAUGAUCGCAUCUAUACUCAGACUCUUGAUCUUUUCGCUCAAUUGCAUCAGGAACAAAGGUACCCUCAUUUGAGGCUUGAUGGUUGGAUUCGUGUUGAGAAAGUUAAUAUUGGGGGAUUGGUGACAGAGGCGUUGGCUCGCCGAAAAUCACGAGAAAGAUCAAAGAUGGGAAUAAAGGAGGUUGGGUACAAUGAAGUUGUAUGGCCAUAA